UUUUUUACUUUAAUUCACAUACAUUCUAGUCGAUUGGGUGGGUCUUUUGUCAAUUUGAGGUUUUGAUUCCAUGAUGUUUGAAUUUUUUAGUAAAAGACAAGUGUCCUUAGGGUUUCGGGUCUAGGUGUGGGUUGGGCUAUGGUGUAAUUGUAUGUUGUGUUUGGAAUGUAUGAUUUUUUUUGGCUGGUACAGAUUUAUUAGUUUGGAUGGUGCGGACAUGUUGUUCCAUGUUUUGACUAAGCGACCUGACUAAAGUAUUACGAACUAGUAAUUUGAUAAGUUUUUUUUGCAGGAACACUUUCACUACUGUUAGGAAGUUUAAAGGAUACAAGUUGAAUGGGUCACCAGUUGUCUUCAAUUGUGACUUAAAGAUAUCUCCAAUUGAGAACUUAGGCUUCACAGCAGGUGAUGGCUUCACAACUUUCUCAUUUUUCACUGCUAGAUCUAUUAGACCCAUCUCUCUCUUCAUGGAUUUCACCAACUCAACGUCCACAUUGUUUCCAACUAUGUCCAUCACAUAGAACGUAGACUGUAGAUUUUUCGGUUUUCGUUGCUAAAUCUGCUCUCAGUACUACUAGCCCUUUCUCCCGAAGAACUCUAGUUAUGUCUGAUAGCAACGCUACCCUGUUGUUUGCACAUAGUUCUAGCCGGUUCCAUGCACAAAGUUCUAGCCGGGUUCCACUGCAGCCUCUAAGCAUUUCAUAGCAUGCUGCUUCUUACUCACUGGCUAUUGGUUAUGUUCCGAAGUUCUUUCGAAGUGUUUAAACGGUAUUGA
RNAcentral lists this long non-coding RNA (775 nucleotides) under Helianthus annuus (common sunflower). RNAcentral's name for it is "hypothetical non coding rna". Lineage: Eukaryota; Viridiplantae; Streptophyta; Magnoliopsida; Asterales; Asteraceae. The record is from RNAcentral.